Molecule: ribosomal RNA, 407 nt
Filed under: uncultured bacterium
Lineage: Bacteria
Description: partial 16S ribosomal RNA
Rfam family: Bacterial small subunit ribosomal RNA
Source: RNAcentral
AUUGAACGCUGGCGGCAGGCCUAACACAUGCAAGUCGAGCGGAGCGGCGGACGGGUGAGUAAUGCCUAGGAAUCUGCCUGGUAGUGGGGGAUAACGUCCGGAAACGGGCGCUAAUACCGCAUACUAUCAGAUGAGGCUCGGUCGGAGUAGCUAGUUGGUGGGGUAAAGGCCUACCAAGGCGACGAUCCGUAAGUGGACUGAGAGGAUGAUCAGUCACACUGGAACUGAGAACGGGUCAAGAAUCCUACGGGAGGCAGCAGGGGGGAAUGUUGGACAAUGGGAGAAAGCCGGAUCCAGCCAUGCCGCGUGUGUGAAGAAGGUCUUCGGAUUGUAAAGCACGUUAAGUUGGGAGGCGUUACCUACAGAAGAAGCACCGGCUAACGCCGUGCCAGCAGCCGCGGUAAUUC